Molecule: ribosomal RNA, 228 nt
Filed under: uncultured Limnohabitans sp.
Lineage: Bacteria; Pseudomonadati; Pseudomonadota; Betaproteobacteria; Burkholderiales; Comamonadaceae
Description: partial 16S ribosomal RNA
Rfam family: Bacterial small subunit ribosomal RNA
Source: RNAcentral
CAUGGAGUUUGAUCCUGGCUCAGAUUGAACGCUGGCGGAAUGCUUUACACAUGCAAGUCGAACGGUAGAGGGGGUCAACCCCUUGAGAGUGGCGAACGGGUGAGUAAUAUAUCGGAACGUGCCCAGUCGUGGGGGAUAACGUAGUGAAAAUUACGCUAAUACCGCAUACGAUCUAAGGAUGAAAGUCGGGGAUCGCAAGACCUCGCGCGACUGGAGCGGUCCGAUAUC